UAGGGAAUCUUCCACAAUGGACGCAAGUCUGAUGGAGCAACGCCGCGUGAGUGAAGAAGGUCUUCGGAUCGUAAAACUCUGUUGUUAGAGAAGAACACGAGUGAGAGUAACUGUUCAUUCGAUGAGGUAUCUAACCAGCAAGUCACGGCUAACUACGUGCCAG
RNAcentral lists this ribosomal RNA (163 nucleotides) under uncultured bacterium. RNAcentral describes it as "partial 16S rRNA". It matches the Rfam family "Bacterial small subunit ribosomal RNA", at positions 355 to 511 of the family's 1533-position model. The record is from RNAcentral.